ACAUAGGAAGACGACCUGAAGAGUAAGUGACAACAGUAUCUUUAUUUGUUUGUUUGUUUGUUUGUUUUAAGGAUACAGAAACUAAUAUUAGGGGAAAGUAUAGCUUUGCUUUUUUAUUUUUAUUUUUUUAAGCAGGUAUAAAGUGGACUCAAGGCUUCCAUAUCUGAUAGUAUUUUCUAUCUGUGAGUUUGUGAGCUUUAGGGCUUUAAUACAUGGACCAUAGGAGGUGGAUUAAAUGUAUGGGCAGAUUAUAGUGUAUGAUGCAGAGAGGACCAGAGGAGUCAGUUAUUUUAGAGGAAGAGAGAAAGUGUUGUUAGAACAUGGCCUUGGAGAGAAUGCUUGGCUUUAGGGUUGAAAGGAAUAUAGUUCCCUUACUGCCUUUGUGAAGGUGAGGAUGCCACUGUAGGCAGAGGAGCAGCAAUCUAACAUGGUGCACCAGGGACCUCAAGCACAUUUAAAGGUCUAGUUGGACCAGUAGGUAUGAGAACAGCGCAUAGUGAUGAGCUUUGGAGAUGGGUGCUUCUCUCUUCGAUUGGGGUUUUGUUUGCUUAUUUUGAGAUGAGGUCUCAUAUAGCCCAGGCCGACCUUGAACUAUGUAUAAGAAGAUGAUUUUGAGCUCCUGGUCCUUCUGUCUUACCACCCAAGUGCUAGCAUUAGAUAAGCUCGUUAGCUCUUUAUUUCAUGGUGGGUCUCCCGUGAUUGUCACCCAUCACUUGUUUCUCUGUUGUUCCAGUUACUGUUAGUUCUUACCCUUUUUUACGUCAGGGCUUUUUCAGUUGCUCUAUUUAGUAGAUAUGGUGGAGUUAUGGUAGUACUUAGAAAAGGUUCCAUUUAGUAUCUGAUGUAUAUUUGGUACUUAAUGAGAGCACUAUUUUUAGAAAGAACCAUUAAGACCCUUGGAGUUUUAUGAUGCCAUAGUGCAGUAGUUAAAUAACUUGGCCACUAUUUCUGUUUGUAGGCAAGUUGAACCUAGCAGAACCUUAACAUUGCUUAUUUCACUGCAAGACUUUUCUGUUUUGUUUUAUUGUUCUCUGUGGUCAAAAGGCAUCCUAGAUGCAAAAAUCAAGAGAAUAAGAGAGUAACUGAAGGAUUAAUAAAGUGCCCCAUCAUGUGUUCUCUAGGAGCUGCUACAUCUUUUAAUAGUUAUCUGCACCCUGGUUUUUCUGAAUUUUGUUUACCUCCCCCAUUAGAUUUUUAGACUAUUGUUGUAUUACUAUACUUGUGUGGUAAAAAAAAUAUUUCUUGCAUUCUUAAUUAUGUGCUCUAUCCUGAGCUAUGUAUCUCACACACUUUCAUGGGAAUCUCUAUAAUACCAUGAAGUAAAUAUUCUCUGUAGAAAUGAAGAAAGUGAGAUCCUCAAAGGGCCAUUUGAGUAAGGUCCCUUAGCCAGGCAAAGGGUAAUGCUGAGAUUUAAAGUACAGAUAUUCUAACUGUUUUUCUUGUCAUUGUAUGCAAAGACAUAUUUUUAUGUCAUAAGCUCAUCUGUAUUACACAUACUCUCUUAACCACCCUUUUAAAGUAUUUUGUAUUCAGUAGCUAAUGUAGUGCACAUUUUGAAAAUUUUGUGUGACAUGACCACUUCCCAGAGUUUGAUUCUCUCAAAGCUAAUUGUGUCUUUGUGGCUGGUAUUCAUUUGAUACUGGGCACCACGUGGUUUCUGAGGCUUGGAGAACAAGUAACUACGUUCUUGUCUGUUGUAGAUUUAUGAGUCACAGAAAUCAAUAUUUCCAUAGCAUUAGCAAUCUUGUCUAUGGCUUUGUAAUAUUCAGCAAGGUAUACUUUGCCAUUAUUUUUAUGCUAUAAUUUUUAGAAAGAGAAUAGACUUCUAGGAACUGAGAAGAAAUUUGUUAUUACGUCUUCAUUCAUAUCUUGGUCCUGACUCAUUUCUUCUCUCCCUUCCUCCCUCCCUCCCUCCAACAUAAAAUUCACGGAUCUGUGUAAACAAUGCAUAUAAUUUUCUAGGUGAAAUUCCAGGUAAGCUAAGUUCUUUUACACUGAAAAUUAAAAUGGUUCAAACCCAUCCUGAGGUUAAGCUUACAUUGUAAGAUCUACUGAAAUGUUUACUAACCUGCAUUUCUAAUAUAACCGGUUCUCAUAUCUCACCUGGUGUGAUUGUGGUAUGACAAGUGGUUUUGGUUGUAUUGUUUCUAUAACCUUUCCAAGUAACUGGUUGAUUGAGUCAGAUUUAGAGGAAAAGAUUUCAUGACGUCAAUGGUCGGGUUUGUAGGUUUAAGUCUUUCAUGGGCAGUUGGGACAUUUCUUUGCUUUAUGACCACAAUUUUCUUUCUGUUGCCCCACCAUUUAAAAGACAUUAUUUAGAGUAAGAAAUCAUAUUGAUGAGUUUUUGAGCUUCUCUCUGUGUAAGUACUUUGAUGAAGGGGGGUGGGUUUAGUUAUGACAAGAAACUACCAGUUCCAGAAGAAUUACCAGUUAUGCUCCAUCACUACAAAUGAGUUUAGAAUAGUGGGAAGAAUCCAGCUGUGUUGUUGAUGACAGCUGAGGAUGUUUGUAGGACUGAGGCAGUGUCUGUGUUGUGGCUACCCUGGUCUACAUGCCUUAAG
Molecule: long non-coding RNA, 2561 nt
Filed under: Mus musculus (house mouse)
Lineage: Eukaryota; Metazoa; Chordata; Mammalia; Rodentia; Muridae
Description: long non-coding RNA chr10:111212151-111214712
Source: RNAcentral